GACGAACGCUGGCGGCGUGCUUAACACAUGCAAGUCGAACGGAAAGGCCCUGCUUUUGUGGGGUGCUCGAGUGGCGAACGGGUGAGUAACACGUGAGUAACCUGCCCUUGACUUUGGGAUAACUUCAGGAAACUGGGGCUAAUACCGGAUAGGAGCUCCUGCUGCAUGGUGGGGGUUGGAAAGUUUCGGCGGUUGGGGAUGGACUCGCGGCUUAUCAGCUUGUUGGUGGGGUAGUGGCUUACCAAGGCUUUGACGGGUAGCCGGCCUGAGAGGGUGACCGGCCACAUUAGGACUGAGAUACGGCCCAGACUCCUACGGGAGGCAGCAGUGGGGAAUAUUACACAAUGGGCGGAAGCCUGAUGCAGCAACGCCGCGUGCGGGAUGACGGCCUUCGGGUUGUAAACCGCUUUCGCCUGUGACGAAGCGUGAGUGACGGUAAUGGGUAAAGAAGCACCGGCUAACUACGUG
RNAcentral lists this ribosomal RNA (468 nucleotides) under uncultured bacterium. RNAcentral describes it as "partial 16S ribosomal RNA". It matches the Rfam family "Bacterial small subunit ribosomal RNA", at positions 28 to 507 of the family's 1533-position model. The record is from RNAcentral.